RNAcentral lists this ribosomal RNA (867 nucleotides) under Pseudopithomyces palmicola. RNAcentral's name for it is "eukaryotic LSU rRNA". It matches the Rfam family "Eukaryotic large subunit ribosomal RNA", at positions 71 to 954 of the family's 3401-position model. The record is from RNAcentral. Lineage: Eukaryota; Fungi; Ascomycota; Dothideomycetes; Pleosporales; Didymosphaeriaceae.
GCGAUAGCCUCAGUAACGGCGAGUGAAGCGGCUACAGCUCAAAUUUGAAAUCUGGCCUCCUCUGGGGGUCCGAGUUGUAAUUUGCAGAGGAUGCUUUGGCAUUGGCGGCGGUCUAAGUUCCUUGGAACAGGACAUCGCAGAGGGUGAGAAUCCCGUACGUGGGCGCCUGCCUUUGCCGUGUAAAGCUCCUUCGACGAGUCGAGUUGUUUGGGAAUGCAGCUCUAAAUGGGAGGUAAAUUUCUCCUAAAGCUAAAUACCGGCCAGAGACCGAUAGCGCACAAGUAGAGUGAUCGAAAGAUGAAAAGUACUUUGGAAAGAGAGUCAAAUAGCACGUGAAAUUGUUGAAAGGGAAGCGCUUGCAGCCAGACUUGCCCGCAGUUGCUCACCUAGGCUUUCGCCUGGGGCACUCUUCUGCGGGCAGGCCAGCAUCAGUUUGGGCGGUCGGAUAAAGGCCUCUGUCAUGUACCACCCCUCGGGGUGGCCUUAUAGGGGAGGCGUAAUGCGACCAGCCCGGACUGAGGUCCGCGCAUCUGCUAGGAUGCUGGCGUAAUGGCUGUAAGCGGCCCGUCUUGAAACACGGACCAAGGAGUCUAACAUCUAUGCGAGUGUUUGGGUGUCAAGCCCGGGCGCGCAAUGAAAGUGAACGGAGGUGGGAACCCUUCGGGGUGCACCAUCGACCGAUCCUGAAGUCUUCGGAUGGAUUUGAGUAAGAGCAUAGCUGUUGGGACCCGAAAGAUGGUGAACUAUGCUUGAAUAGGGUGAAGCCAGAGGAAACUCUGGUGGAGGCUCGCAGCGGUUCUGACGUGCAAAUCGAUCGUCAAAUUUGGGCAUAGGGGCGAAAGACUAAUCGAACCAUCUAGUAGCUGG